GACGAACGCUGGCGGCGUGCUUAACACAUGCAAGUCGAACGGAAAGGCCCUGCUUUUGUGGGGUGCUCGAGUGGCGAACGGGUGAGUAACAAGUGAGUAACCUGCCCUUGACUUUGGGAUAACUUCAGGAAACUGGGGCUAAUACCGGAUAGGAGCUCCUGCUGCAUGGGGGGGGGUGGAAAGUUUCGGCGGUUGGGGAUGGACUCGCGGCUUAUCAGCUUGUUGGUGGGGUAGUGGCUUACCAAGGCUUUGACGGGUAGCCGGCCUGAGAGGGUGACCGGCCACAUUGGGACUGAGAUACGGCCCAGACUCCUACGGGAGGCAGCAGUGGGGAAUAUUGCACAAUGGGCGGAAGCCUGAUGCAGCAACGCCGCGUGCGGGAUGACGGCCUUCGGGUUGUAAACCGCUUUCGCCUGUGACGAAGCGUGAGUGACGGUAAUGGGUAAAGAAGCACCGGCUAACUACGUG
RNAcentral lists this ribosomal RNA (468 nucleotides) under uncultured bacterium. RNAcentral's name for it is "partial 16S ribosomal RNA". It matches the Rfam family "Bacterial small subunit ribosomal RNA", at positions 28 to 507 of the family's 1533-position model. The record is from RNAcentral.